Molecule: ribosomal RNA, 497 nt
Filed under: uncultured bacterium
Lineage: Bacteria
Description: partial 16S ribosomal RNA
Rfam family: Bacterial small subunit ribosomal RNA
Source: RNAcentral
GAUGAACGCUGGCGGCGUGCCUAAUACAUGCAAGUCGAGCGAACGGACGAGAAGCUUGCUUCUCUGAUGUUAGCGGCGGACGGGUGAGUAACACGUGGAUAACCUACCUAUAAGACUGGGAUAACUUCGGGAAACCGGAGCUAAUACCGGAUAAUAUUUUGAACCGCAUGGUUCAAAAGUGAAAGACGGUCUUGCUGUCACCUAUAGAUGGAUCCGCGCUGCAUUAGCUAGUUGGUAAGGUAACGGCUUACCAAGGCAACGAUGCAUAGCCGACCUGAGAGGGUGAUCGGCCACACUGGAACUGAGACACGGUCCAGACUCCUACGGGAGGCAGCAGUAGGGAAUCUUCCGCAAUGGGCGAAAGCCUGACGGAGCAACGCCGCGUGAGUGAUGAAGGUCUUCGGAUCGUAAAACUCUGUUAUUAGGGAAGAACAUAUGUGUAAGUAACUGUGCACAUCUUGACGGUACCUAAUCAGAAAGCCACGGCUAACUACGUG